Xyrauchen texanus (razorback sucker) is the source of this 2173-nucleotide long non-coding RNA. RefSeq lists it as uncharacterized. NCBI's taxonomy places the organism in Eukaryota, Metazoa, Chordata, Actinopteri, Cypriniformes, Catostomidae. The record is from RefSeq and is a predicted model, not a curated record. The transcript is spliced from 3 exons.
GCAGCACUCUACGGUCUUCAGGCAGCACUCUACGGUCUGUAGGCAGCACUCUACGGUCUGUAGGCAGCUCGCUACGGUCUGUAGGCAGCACUCAACGGUCUGUAGGCAGCUCGCUACGGUCUGUAGGCAGCACUCUACGGUCUGUAGGCAGCUCGCUACGGUCUGUAGGCAGCACUCUACGGUCUGUAGGCAGCUCGCUACGGUCUGUAGGCAGCACGCUACGGUCUGAAGAAGAGCAAAUAAAACAUGCUGCAUUUGUGUAAAGGGCUAUUCAUUACUAAAACAUGCAUCAUCAAUUACUUAUUAACAUAUAUGAUUUAUGCAUUAAACUUAUUUUAAUAACAGACAGAUCACAGACAGUUUAGAAGGUGAGAGAGUGAGACAGGUGAGAGGAGCAGACAGACAGACAGGUGAGAGGAGCAGACAGACAGACAGGUGAGAGGAGCAGACAGACAGACAGGUGAGAGGAGCAGACAGACAGACAGGUGAGAGGAGCAGACACACUGACAGUUGAGAGGAGCAGACACACUGACAGGUGAGAGGAGCAGACAGACAGACAGGUGAGAGGAGCAGACAGACCGACAGGUGAGAGGAGCAGACACACCGACAGGUGAGAGGAGCAGACAGACAGACAGGUGAGAGGAGCAGACACACCGACAGGUGAGAGGAGCAGACAGACAGACAGGUGAGAGGAGCAGACACACAGACAGGUGAGAGGAGCAGACACACCGACGGGUGAGAGGAGCAGACAGACAGGUGUGAGGAACAGACAGGUGAGGUGCAGACAGACAGGUGAGCAGACAGACAGGUGACUGACAGUAUGUGAUCAUGUGGAAUUAUUGAGUUCUAGUCAGUUUUAUUUAUCAGUAUUAUGCAGUUUAUAUUUGAAUCGUUCAGAGGACUCUUGCCUUUAAACGAUUCAUGUUUGUUUUGCUAUUUACAAAACUGGAAUUUGAUUCUUUAAAAUGUUUUUAAUGUCCUCAAACUUUUAACUCUUUCCCAGCCAAACACGGAAUUUUCCGGGUAUCCGUGUUUUAGGUGUUAUACGGUAAGGAAGACCCGCACACAUGUUUUGAAAGAGUACGCAACUCUUUGAGCAAAGCAACAGACUGCGAUCGUCUCAAACGUGAAGUGGAACACCAUACUAAUACUAAAGCACUUGUUUGAUAAAAAUGCCUUUUUCUCAGCUUUUUGUCCAAAAUGUUGUUUUUGACAAAACCUACCUCUGUUCAAGUGGCAAUAAAAAAAGAACAAAUUAAGAUAAAAUAAAAAAAUUUUUUGCCUAAAAGCAGAGGCCCAGAUCUUUAUUUUGAUAUAUAGCAUCUUCAUAUAUUCAUGGAAGAAAAUAUUCUGCGGGCCAUUAAAGUUUAGCGAAAAUCGUCAAAAACCCUGGCGGUGGCUGGCAACUUUUUUUAAAAACGCUGGCGGGGAAAGAGUUAAAGACGGAGGUGGAUUUUUAUAAAUCAGCACCUUACAGAAAACAUGUCCUCCCACAGCUGUACACCAGUAUUAUUAUUAUUAUUAUUAUUCUGUUCUGAGUCGCAAGCGCUGUGCGUUUGUUAGUUGCUGUGUACAGUUCAGUGUUAUAUAUGCUUUUAUAUUAUAGUUAUAUAACUUAUACAUUUCAACACUACGAGUUGAUCUCCGCCGCCAAAGACCGUUUAUGGGAGAUUUAACAGAAAUGAACCAAAGUGUCCAACAGUCGAAUGUUUGUGGCUUUUGAAGGAAACUCAGUAUUAUCCGUUGUUUACAGUGGAAACACGUGUUCAAGCGUGUGUUUAUGUGAAUCAGAGCCAUGAUGCUCUUGACAAAGGGAAGAAAUCAUUUACUUACAUCAGUUAUAUGAUUUCUACUGAAUUAUUUUAAUAAAAUAUUUUCAAAAACUUGUUCUGCUGACUUUGAGUGAAGCAACACCCUCAUUGUCUAUUGUUCAGUUCAUAAACCCUGAUGAGCGACUGUUGUCCCAACACACACACACACACACACACACACGCGCACACACAUAGACAAACACACAGGAACACUCACUCACUCACACACACAUUCACUCUCUCACUCACACACACACACACUCUCACUCACACACACACUCACUCACACACACACACACUCACUCACACACACACACACUCUCACUCACACACACACUCACUCACACACACACACUCUCACU